UCGAGAAUCUUCCGCAAUGGGCGAAAGCCUGACGGAGCGACACCGCGUGCAGGACGAAGGCCCUCGGGUUGUAAACUGCUGUCACGCUCUAGGAACCCCAUGUCGUGAAUAGCGGCAUGGCUGACCAAGGCGAAAGGAAGUGGCGGCUAACUCUGUGCCAGCAGCCGCGGUAAGACAGAGGCCACGAACGUUAGUCGGAAUCACUGGGCUUAAAGGGUGCGUAGGUGGGUCCGCAAGCGUCCUGUGAAAUACCUCAGCUCAACUGAGGAACAGCAGGGCGAACUGCGGGUCUUGAGGCAGGUAGGGGCUGGAAGAACGGUCGGUGGAGCGGUGAAAUGCGUAGAGAUCGACCGGAAUGCCGAUGGGGAAGCCGUCCAGCUGGGCCUGUCCUGACACUGAGGCACGAAAGCGUGGGGAGCAAACAGGAUUAGAUACCCAGGUAGUCCCUGAGCGGGCUGGCAAGGCGCAU
This 469-nucleotide ribosomal RNA is filed under the name uncultured bacterium. RNAcentral's name for it is "bacterial SSU rRNA". It matches the Rfam family "Bacterial small subunit ribosomal RNA", at positions 355 to 825 of the family's 1533-position model. The record is from RNAcentral.